AAUUGUGCUGGUUUUCUUUCUUCCUAAGUCCCUUUCUCUUCUAAACUUUCUAAAUCUCAGGUCCCUGGCAUGAUGAUAUUCCAGUUGGACCUUUUCAAAUUCUUAGUUUCUGGAUUUUUUUCCCUAAGUUUAAGCCCAGAGGUUUGUACUACACUUUUGAGUUUAAAGGGAAAAACCGAUGAUACAGUCUAGGAUGGUGAUCACAGACCUCUGAGAGGCUCUCGGCUUUCUUAGCUUCAGAGCAGGGGAGGCCAAAGGAGGCAUAUGUUUGUCUACAUUUACUUAUGACAUCUUGGACCCUCAGGAACUGCAGGCUUGAUACCCUAAGACCUGGUUUGCAUUGGAUGAUGGUGAGUGAAUACAAAAAGGAAGAGGAAAUACUAAUGCAGAAAAGAAAAUAGGUGGAAACCACAUGAGAGGAGAGAAUUUAGAAGUUUGGAUUAAAAAUUAACUCAAGAGUCUCAGAUUCAUCUGGGUCCUUCCCAGCUUUGUCCGUGAUUCAUUU
This 505-nucleotide long non-coding RNA is filed under the name Marmota monax (woodchuck). The record is from RNAcentral. Lineage: Eukaryota; Metazoa; Chordata; Mammalia; Rodentia; Sciuridae.